UAAUUAUUAAUUAUAUUAUUUUUUUUUAUUAUUUAUAGAAAUAACUUUAUUUUUAGUAAUUUUUAAUGAAAUAAUUAUUUUUUGAUAGUGAAUUUUACUGUAAAGGAUAUUACGAUUUAAUUUAUAAGUAGAUUUUAUUUAUUGUACCUUUUGUAUCAGGGUAAAUUAAAUAAAAUUUAAUUAUUUAUUUUUCCCGAAUUAAAAAGAUUUAUUUUUUUAUGUUUAAUAUUGUUUCAUAAAUAUUAAUAAUAAAUUAAUAGUAUUGAUAUAAUAUUCAAUUUUUAAUAUCUGGUUAUUUAAUAAAUGAAUUUAAUUCAGGAUUAUAAAAAUUAAUUUAUUAUUUUAUUUAAAUUAAAUUUUUAAUCUAAUAUUUCUAGGGAUAAGCUUGGAUUUAUUUAUAUAAGUUUAUUAUUAUUUUAAUUUUUGUAGGAUUAAUAAUUUUCAUCAUUUAUUUUGUUAUAAUAUAAAUUAAUUUAGUUGUAUUUUUUAUUCUUUAUAUUUUUAUUAAAUUUUUUUAAUUAAUUAUUUUUUAUUUUAAUAAUGAUUUAAUAAGUAUUAAUUUUAUUUAAAAUACAGGAACUCGGCAAAUAUAAUUUUCGCCUGUUUAUCAAAAACAUGUCCUUUUGUUAUUUGUUUAAGGUCUAACCUGCCCUAUGAAAUUUUAAAUGGCCGCAGUAUUUUAACUGUGCGAAGGUAGCAUAAUCAAUUGUCUUUUAAUUAAAGGCUAGAAUGAAUGGUUGGACGUAAAAUUAGCUUUCUUUGUUUUAAAUUUAAAAAUUUAAUUUUUUAGUCAAAAAGCUAAAAUAUUUUUAUGGGACGAUAAGACCCUAUAGAAUUUUAUAAUCAAUAAAUUAAAUUUAAUUUUGUUUAUUAAUUAUAUUUAUUUCACUGAUUAUUUUGUUGGGGUGACAUAAAGAUUAAAUUAACUCUUUAUAUAAAUUUAUCAUAAAUUAGUGUUUUUUUGAUCCACUUUAGUGAAUAUAAGAUAAAAUUACCUUAGGGAUAACAGCGUAAUCUUUUUUUAGAGAUCUUAUCGAAAAAGGGGGUUGCGACCUCGAUGUUGAAUUAAGAAAAAUAUUUGGUGUAGAAGCUUAAUUAUUAGGUCUGUUCGACCUUUAAAUUCUUACAUGAUUUGAGUUCAGACCGGCGUGAGCCAGGUUGGUUUCUAUCUUUAAAAUUUUAUAAUACUUUAGUACGAAAGGACCAAGUAUUAAAAUAUAAUUUUAUUUUAAUUAAUU
This 1238-nucleotide ribosomal RNA is filed under the name Helotrephes semiglobosus semiglobosus. RNAcentral's name for it is "16S ribosomal RNA". The stretch from base 814 to 1171 matches the Rfam family "Archaeal large subunit ribosomal RNA", at positions 2154 to 2712 of the family's 2987-position model. The record is from RNAcentral. Lineage: Eukaryota; Metazoa; Arthropoda; Insecta; Hemiptera; Helotrephidae.